This 378-nucleotide ribosomal RNA is filed under the name uncultured bacterium. Its description in RNAcentral is "bacterial SSU rRNA". It matches the Rfam family "Bacterial small subunit ribosomal RNA", at positions 335 to 704 of the family's 1533-position model. The record is from RNAcentral.
ACUCCUACGGGAGGCAGCAGUGGGGAAUAUUGCACAAUGGGGGAAACCCUGAUGCAGCCAUGCCGCGUGUGUGAAGAAGGCCUUCGGUUGUAAAGACACUUCUAGUAGGAGGAAGGUAGUGUAGUUAACACCUGCAUUAUUUGUACGUUACCUACAGAAGAAGCACCGGCUAACUCCGUGCCAGCAGCCGCGGUAAGUACGGAGGGUGCGAGCGUUAAUCGGAAUUACUGGGCGUAAAGCGCAUGCAGGCGGCCUGUUAAGUCAGAUGUGAAAGCCCGGGGCUUAACCGUCGGAAUUGCAUUUGAAACUGGCAGGCUAGAGUCUUGUAGAGGGGUUAGAAUUUCAGGUGUAGCGGUGAAAUGCGUAGAGAUCUGAAGG